GUGAGGAAUAUUGGUCAAUGGGCGAGAGCCUGAACCAGCCAAGUAGCGUGAAGGAUGACUGCCCUAUGGGUUGUAAACUUCUUUUAUAAAGGAAUAAAGUCGGGUAUGGAUACCCGUUUGCAUGUACUUUAUGAAUAAGGAUCGGCUAACUCCGUGCCAGCAGCCGCGGUAAUACGGAGGAUCCGAGCGUUAUCCGGAUUUAUUGGGUUUAAAGGGAGCGUAGAUGGAUGUUUAAGUCAGUUGUGAAAGUUUGCGGCUCAACCGUAAAAUUGCAGUUGAUACUGGAUAUCUUGAGUGCAGUUGAGGCAGGCGGAAUUCGUGGUGUAGCGGUGAAAUGCUUAGAUAUCACGAAGAACUCCGAUUGCGAAGGCAGCCUGCUAAGCUGCAACUGACAUUGAGGCUCGAAAGUGUGGGUAUCAAACAGGA
RNAcentral lists this ribosomal RNA (426 nucleotides) under uncultured bacterium. RNAcentral's name for it is "bacterial SSU rRNA". It matches the Rfam family "Bacterial small subunit ribosomal RNA", at positions 354 to 777 of the family's 1533-position model. The record is from RNAcentral.